This 1155-nucleotide long non-coding RNA is filed under the name Oncorhynchus mykiss (rainbow trout). RNAcentral's name for it is "lncRNA (ENSOMYG00000049910.1)". Lineage: Eukaryota; Metazoa; Chordata; Actinopteri; Salmoniformes; Salmonidae. The record is from RNAcentral.
AUGACACCCAGUCAGAGACACAGACAGACAGACAGACAGACAGACAGACAGACAGACAGACAGACAGACAGACAGACAGACAGACAGACAGAGACAGACAGUCAGAGACACCCAGUCAGAGACACCCAGUCAGAGACAGACAGACAGACAGACACAGACAGACAGACAGAGACAGACACCCAGUCAAAGACACAGACAGUCACCCAGUCAGAGACGCCCAGUCAGACAGACAGACAGACAGACAGACAGACAGACAGACAGACAGACAGACAGACAGACAGACAGACAGACACCCAGUCAGAGACGCAGACAGAGACAGAGACAGAGAGACAGACACCCUGUCAGAGACACAGACAGACAACCAGUCAGAGACAGACACACACCCAGAGACAGACAGAGACAGGCAGAGAGAGACAGACAGACAGACAGACAGACAGACAGAGAGAGACAGACACACAGACAGACAGAGACAGACAGACACAGAGACAGAGACAGAGACAGAGACAGACACACAAACAGAGGCAGACAGGCAGAGACAGAGACAGACACACACCCAGUCAGAGACACAGACAGACACCCAGUCAGCGACACAGACAGACACCCAGUCAGAGACACAGACAGACACCCAGUCAGAGGCACAGACAGACACCCAGUCAGAGACAGACAGACACCCAAUCAGAGACACAGACAGAAAGACACCCAGUCAGACACCCAGUCAGAGACACAGACAGACACCAGGUCAGAGACACAGACAAACAGACACCCAGUCAGACACCCAGUCAGAGACAGACACCCAGUCAGAGACAGAGACAGACACCCAGUCAGAGACACAGACAGUCAAAGACACAGACAGACAGUCAGAGACACCCAGUCAGAGAAACCCAGUCAGACACACCCAGUCAGAAACACCCAGUCAGACAGACAGACAGACAGACAGACAGACAGACAGACAGACAGACAGCGACAGACACCCAGUCAGUCAGAGACAGAGACCCAGUCAGAGUCAGAGUCAGGGUCAGAGACAGAGACAGACACCCUGUCAGACACCCAGUCAGAGACAGACAGACAGACAGGACAGACAGACAGACAGACAGACAGACAGAGACAGCGACAGACACAGACAGACAGAGAGACAGAGACAGACAGACAGACUGA